Molecule: ribosomal RNA, 500 nt
Filed under: uncultured bacterium
Lineage: Bacteria
Description: partial 16S ribosomal RNA
Rfam family: Bacterial small subunit ribosomal RNA
Source: RNAcentral
AUUGAACGCUGGCGGCAUGCCUUACACAUGCAAGUCGAACGGCAGCACGGGAGCAAUCCUGGUGGCGAGUGGCGAACGGGUGAGUAAUAUAUCGGAACGUGCCCAGUCGUGGGGGAUAACGUAGCGAAAGCUACGCUAAUACCGCAUACGAUCUAUGGAUGAAAGCGGGGGAUCGCAAGACCUCGCGCGAUUGGAGCGGCCGAUAUCAGAUGAGGUAGUUGGUGGGGUAAAGGCGCACCAAGCCGACGAUCUGUAGCUGGUCUGAGAGGACGACCGGCCACACUGGGACUGAGACACGGCCCAGACUCCUACGGGAGGCAGCAGUGGGGAAUUUUGGACAAUGGGCGCAAGCCUGAUCCAGCAAUGCCGCGUGCAGGAUGAAGGCCUUCGGGUUGUAAACUGCUUUUGUACGGAGCGAAAAGGCUCUCUCUAAUACAGGGGGCUCAUGACGGUACCGUAAGAAUAAGCACCGGCUAACUACGUGCCAGCCGCCGCCGUAA